RNAcentral lists this ribosomal RNA (43 nucleotides) under Chenopodium album (lamb's quarters). Its description in RNAcentral is "partial 26S ribosomal RNA". Lineage: Eukaryota; Viridiplantae; Streptophyta; Magnoliopsida; Caryophyllales; Amaranthaceae. The record is from RNAcentral. RNAcentral also lists the same sequence under 1 other name.
GCGACCCCAGGUCAGGCGGGGCUACCCGCUGAGUUUAAGCAUA